This is a long non-coding RNA of Centruroides sculpturatus (bark scorpion), 238 nucleotides long. RefSeq lists it as uncharacterized. The record is from RefSeq and is a predicted model, not a curated record. NCBI's taxonomy places the organism in Eukaryota, Metazoa, Arthropoda, Arachnida, Scorpiones, Buthidae. The transcript is spliced from 3 exons.
AAUAUACUUAAAAUCUACUAAAGUAAUUAUAAAUCCUUUUUGUUUCAAUUGAAUUUCAUGUUAUGUCUUUGAAAAUUGAGCUUUCUAAGUUAUUUCAAUAGAACAAUGAAGAUUUCAUAAGUUUAUGUAUCAAUAAAGCCGUGAAGAUAACGAAACGGUGAGUUUUAUUUUUAAUUCAGUUCUUUUUUAUUAUUAUUAUUAUUAUUAAAAUUUUAAUAAGGGACAAAUACACUUUUUC